This 76-nucleotide transfer RNA is filed under the name Sporomusa termitida. Its description in RNAcentral is "tRNA-Ala". It matches the Rfam family "tRNA". Rfam says of the family: Transfer RNA (tRNA) molecules are approximately 80 nucleotides in length. Their secondary structure includes four short double-helical elements and three loops (D, anti-codon, and T loops). Lineage: Bacteria; Bacillati; Bacillota; Negativicutes; Selenomonadales; Sporomusaceae. RNAcentral also lists the same sequence under 18 other names. The record is from RNAcentral.
GGGGGCGUAGCUCAGCUGGGAGAGCACCUGCCUUGCAAGCAGGGGGUCAGCGGUUCGAUCCCGCUCGUCUCCACCA